CAGAAUGAAACAACAGCAGAUAUCAGCUCCCGCUAAAGCAAAAGACGACUACAUGCGUAGACUACUGCGCAGGUGUAGAGCGCGCGGUCGUCUGCAGGAGGUUUGCUGGAACGCGAUCCUGAGGUGAAAUUUCUUUAAGAGGUUUUAAAAACGUUCUACACUGUGGAGUACAGCUGCGAGUGAUGUUAGCAGGUUCCGCAUGCUGGAUAAGAACAGCAUUUGUGAGACGACAUCAACUCAUCAUCCGAGUGGACAAGAACACCAACAGAGGAAGCCAAGCCGCAAAAACAAUGAAAAAUUGUCAUGACUUUUUAUUUUAAAUAAAAGUUAUGUGAUAAUAAACAUUAA
Paramisgurnus dabryanus is the source of this 348-nucleotide long non-coding RNA. RefSeq lists it as uncharacterized. NCBI's taxonomy places the organism in Eukaryota, Metazoa, Chordata, Actinopteri, Cypriniformes, Cobitidae. The record is from RefSeq and is a predicted model, not a curated record.